This 445-nucleotide ribosomal RNA is filed under the name uncultured bacterium. RNAcentral describes it as "bacterial SSU rRNA". It matches the Rfam family "Bacterial small subunit ribosomal RNA", at positions 28 to 493 of the family's 1533-position model. The record is from RNAcentral.
GAUGAACGCUGGCGGCGCGCCUAACACAUGCAAGUCGAACGGCACCCACCCUCGGGUGGAAGCGAGUGGCGAACGGCUGAGUAACACGUGGAGAACCUGCCCCCUCCCCCGGGAUAGCCGCCCGAAAGGACGGGUAAUACCGGAUACCCCGGGGUGCCGCAUGGCACCCCGGCUAAAGCCCCGACGGGAGGGGAUGGCUCCGCGGCCCAUCAGGUAGACGGCGGGGUGACGGCCCACCGUGCCGACAACGGGUAGCCGGGUUGAGAGACCGACCGGCCAGAUUGGGACUGAGACACGGCCCAGACUCCUACGGGAGGCAGCAGUGGGGAAUCUUGCGCAAUGGGGGGAACCCUGACGCAGCGACGCCGCGUGCGGGACGGAGGCCUUCGGGUCGUAAACCGCUUUCAGCAGGGAAGAGUCAAGACUGUACCUGCAGAAGAAGCCC